RNAcentral lists this ribosomal RNA (253 nucleotides) under uncultured bacterium. RNAcentral's name for it is "partial 16S ribosomal RNA". It matches the Rfam family "Bacterial small subunit ribosomal RNA", at positions 524 to 776 of the family's 1533-position model. The record is from RNAcentral.
UACGAAGGGGGCUAGCGUUGCUCGGAAUCACUGGGCGUAAAGCGCACGUAGGCGGAUUGCUAAGUCAGGGGUGAAAUCCUGGAGCUCAACUCCAGAACUGCCUUUGAUACUGGCGAUCUUGAGUCCGGAAGAGGAGAGUGGAAUUCCUGGUGUAGCGGUGAAAUGCGCAGAUAUCAGGAAGAACACCCGUGGCGAAGGCGGCUCUCUGGGACGGUACUGACGCUGAGACGCGAAAGCGUGGGGAGCGAACAGG